This 878-nucleotide ribosomal RNA is filed under the name uncultured bacterium. RNAcentral describes it as "bacterial SSU rRNA". It matches the Rfam family "Bacterial small subunit ribosomal RNA", at positions 9 to 914 of the family's 1533-position model. The record is from RNAcentral.
GAGUUUGAUCAUGGCUCAGGAUGAACGCCGACAGAAUGCUUAACACAUGCAAGUCUACUUGAUCCUUCGGGUGAAGGUGGCGGACGGGUGAGUAACGCGUAAAGAACUUGCCUUACAGACUGGGACAACAUUUGGAAACGAAUGCUAAUACCGGAUAUUAUGAUUGGGUCGCAUGAUCUGGUUAUGAAAGCUAUAUGCGCUGUGAGAGAGCUUUGCGUCCCAUUAGUUAGUUGGUGAGGUAACGGCUCACCAAGACGAUGAUGGGUAGCCGGCCUGAGAGGGUGAACGGCCACAAGGGGACUGAGACACGGCCCUUACUCCUACGGGAGGCAGCAGUGGGGAAUAUUGGACAAUGGACCAAAAGUCUGAUCCAGCAAUUCUGUGUGCACGAUGAAGUUUUUCGGAAUGUAAAGUGCUUUCAGUUGGGAAGAAGUCAGUGACGGUACCAACAGAAGAAGCGACGGCUAAAUACGUGCCAGCAGCCGCGGUAAUACGUAUGUCGCAAGCGUUAUCCGGAUUUAUUGGGCGUAAAGCGCGUCUAGGCGGCUUAGUAAGUCUGAUGUGAAAAUGCGGGGCUCAACCCCGUAUUGCGUUGGAAACUGCUAAACUAGAGUACUGGAGAGGUAGGCGGAACUACAAGUGUAGAGGUGAAAUUCGUAGAUAUUUGUAGGAAUGCCGAUGGGGAAGCCAGCCUACUGGACAGAUACUGACGCUAAAGCGCGAAAGCGUGGGUAGCAAACAGGAUUAGAUACCCUGGUAGUCCACGCCGUAAACGAUGAUUACUAGGUGUUGGGGGUCGAACCUCAGCGCCCAAGCUAACGCGAUAAGUAAUCCGCCUGGGGAGUACGUACGCAAGUAUGAAACUCAAAGGAAUUGAC